Non-coding RNA from Schistosoma rodhaini, 45 nucleotides. The record is from Rfam. NCBI's taxonomy places the organism in Eukaryota, Metazoa, Platyhelminthes, Trematoda, Strigeidida, Schistosomatidae.
CCCCAGCUGAUGAGUCCCGAAUAGGACGAAAAGCGCGUCCUGAAU